CCUACUGUAUAUACACUUUCUUGAGCCAUCUAAUAAUAAUAGCUGAGGUGGAUCUGAUAUUUUUAUUCAGUGAAUAGGGAUAAUUCUCAUUUACACCCAUCUACAUCACCUUGUCUAUCUCAGUAUCAUUACCACUGUUUCUGAGCCCUUUGCGAUCUUUAGUUUGUUUAUUCUUGUAGUACUUUGCUAAAUCUUAUGGGGAACUAUAAUCAUCUCCAUUUUGCAGGUGAGGAACUGAGACCCAGAGACAUUAAAUGACUUGUGCCAGAGCCCAGAGGAGUUAUGCAGCUGAGCAGAGAACUGAACUUCAGGUCAUCCAAGCCAAAGCCUAGUGUCCUGGCUAUUUGACAGUCCUUCCACUGUAGCAACUGAGUGUAAAUGUGUACUACUGUAGAUGGGCUGGACUGAGUUCCAUUCUUCCUGGCAGAAACACCAUGUUCCUGCCUCUAGCCAAGGAGAGCUGGAAGGUCUCUCCUGCAUCCCGUUAAACCUGACCUCAGCAUUCAUCAGAGCAAGGGCUUUCAAGACUGUUCUAAGCUGCUCCAGUCUACCAACUGUAAGUUUUGUUUUGUAGUUCAUGCAAAUCCUGACUACUUGUAAGUGUUGCAUGUAAUGGGGAUUGCCUGUUAGUAGCUCUGCUUGGUUUUAACUGGGA
Molecule: long non-coding RNA, 655 nt
Filed under: Crocodylus porosus (Australian saltwater crocodile)
Lineage: Eukaryota; Metazoa; Chordata; Crocodylia; Crocodylidae
Description: lncRNA (ENSCPRG00005018674.1)
Source: RNAcentral